Non-coding RNA from Macaca mulatta (Rhesus monkey), 443 nucleotides. The record is from RefSeq and is a predicted model, not a curated record. NCBI's taxonomy places the organism in Eukaryota, Metazoa, Chordata, Mammalia, Primates, Cercopithecidae.
CCCUGCCUCCCCCGGGCAGCUUACCUUCCUCUCUCAGAGCCAAUGUCUACUGCAGCCAAGCCUUCAGGCCAGGAGCCCGUGGCUCCGGAUCCCACGUUGCCAUCACUCAACUGUUCACUUGACCUGUUAUGAGAAAUAUUCAUUAAAGACCUGCACUACCCUAGGCACCGGGGGAACAGCGGGAACAGGACCAUCCUGGCCCCAGCUGCAUCCAUUGACAUUGCACCAGAGGCCAUGGAAGUCCUUCAGCUGGGUGUAUGUGGGCUCCAUGUUCUGGGAAUGAAGUGUCUGCUUCCUGCACUGAGUUACCUUGCAGCGUCUGUGUUGGGGCCCCUGAAAGCCUCCUCGCCAGCCAAGUCCCUCUGGAGCUCUCUGGAGCAGGGGGCCUCCUUGUCUUUGUGGCCUGGGGAAGACCUAUGGAGGAAAUAAAUGGAAGUUAACGA